This 253-nucleotide ribosomal RNA is filed under the name uncultured bacterium. Its description in RNAcentral is "partial 16S ribosomal RNA". It matches the Rfam family "Bacterial small subunit ribosomal RNA", at positions 524 to 776 of the family's 1533-position model. The record is from RNAcentral.
AACGUAGGUCCCGAGCGUUAUCCGGAUUUACUGGGCGUAAAGCGUGUUCAGGCGGUCUAGCAAGUCGGGCAUGAAAUCUCUCGGCUCAACCGGGAGGGGUUGUCCGAUACUGCUGGGCUUGAGGGCAGCAGAGGGUGGUGGAAUUCCGGGUGUAGUGGUGAAAUGCGUAGAUAUCCGGAGGAACACCAGUGGCGAAGGCGGCUGCCUGGGCCUGGCCUGACGCUGAGGCGCGAAAGCGUGGGGAGCAAUCCGG